RNAcentral lists this ribosomal RNA (492 nucleotides) under uncultured bacterium. Its description in RNAcentral is "bacterial SSU rRNA". It matches the Rfam family "Bacterial small subunit ribosomal RNA", at positions 30 to 509 of the family's 1533-position model. The record is from RNAcentral.
AUUGAACGCUGGCGGCAUGCCUUACACAUGCAAGUCGAACGGCAGCACAGCAGAGCUUGCUCUGUGGGUGGCGAGUGGCGGACGGGUGAGGAAUACAUGGGAAUCUGCCCAGUCGUGGGGGAUAACGUAUGGAAACGUACGCUAAUACCGCAUGCGCCCUAAGGGGGAAAGCCGGGGACCGCAAGGCCUGGCGCGAUUGGAUGAGCCCAUGUUCGAUUAGCUAGUUGGCGGGGUAAAGGCCCACCAAGGCGACGAUCGAUAGCUGGUCUGAGAGGAUGAUCAGCCACACUGGAACUGAGACACGGUCCAGACUCCUACGGGAGGCAGCAGUAGGGAAUAUUGGACAAUGGGGGCAACCCUGAUCCAGCCAUGCCGCGUGAGUGAAGAAGGCCCUCGGGUUGUAAAGCUCUUUUGUCCGGAAAGAAAAGCAAUCGGUUAAUACCCGGUUGUUCUGACGGUACCGGAAGAAUAAGCACCGGCUAACUUCGUGCC